RNAcentral lists this ribosomal RNA (262 nucleotides) under Escherichia coli. Its description in RNAcentral is "partial 16S ribosomal RNA". It matches the Rfam family "Bacterial small subunit ribosomal RNA", at positions 963 to 1225 of the family's 1533-position model. Lineage: Bacteria; Pseudomonadati; Pseudomonadota; Gammaproteobacteria; Enterobacterales; Enterobacteriaceae. The record is from RNAcentral.
GAAGAACCUUACCUGGUCUUGACAUCCACGGAAGUUUUCAGAGAUGAGAAUGUGCCUUCGGGAACCGUGAGACAGGUGCUGCAUGGCUGUCGUCAGCUCGUGUUGUGAAAUGUUGGGUUAAGUCCCGCAACGAGCGCAACCCUUAUCCUUUGUUGCCAGCGGUCCGGCCGGGAACUCAAAGGAGACUGCCAGUGAUAAACUGGAGGAAGGUGGGGAUGACGUCAAGUCAUCAUGGCCCUUACGACCAGGGCUACACACGUGC